RNAcentral lists this ribosomal RNA (253 nucleotides) under uncultured bacterium. RNAcentral's name for it is "partial 16S ribosomal RNA". It matches the Rfam family "Bacterial small subunit ribosomal RNA", at positions 524 to 776 of the family's 1533-position model. The record is from RNAcentral.
UACGAAGGGGGCUAGCGUUGUUCGGAUUUACUGGGCGUAAAGCGCACGUAGGCGGAUCGUUAAGUCAGGGGUGAAAUCCUGGAGCUCAACUCCAGAACUGCCUUUGAUACUGGCGAUCUUGAGUCCGGAAGAGGUGAGUGGAACUCCUAGUGUAGAGGUGGAAUUCGUAGAUAUUAGGAAGAACACCAGUGGCGAAGGCGGCUCACUGGUCCGGUACUGACGCUGAGGAGCGAAAGCGUGGGGAGCAAACAGG